RNAcentral lists this ribosomal RNA (492 nucleotides) under uncultured bacterium. Its description in RNAcentral is "partial 16S ribosomal RNA". It matches the Rfam family "Bacterial small subunit ribosomal RNA", at positions 29 to 507 of the family's 1533-position model. The record is from RNAcentral.
AGUGAACGCUGGCGGUAGGCCUAACACAUGCAAGUCGAACGGCAGCACAGUAAGAGCUUGCUCUUACGGGUGGCGAGUGGCGGACGGGUGAGGAAUACAUCGGAAUCUACUUUUUCUUGGGGGAUAACGUAGGGAAACUUACGCUAAUACCGCAUACGACCUACGGGUGAAAUCAGGGGAUCUUCGGACCUUGCGCGAUUGAAUGAGCCGAUGUCGGAUUAGCUAGUUGGCGGGGUAAAGGCCCACCAAGGCGACGAUCCGUAGCUGGUCUGAGAGGAUGAUCAGCCACACUGGAACUGAGACACGGUCCAGACUCCUACGGGAGGCAGCAGUGGGGAAUAUUGGACAAUGGGCGCAAGCCUGAUCCAGCCAUACCGCGUGGGUGAAGAAGGCCUUCGGGUUGUAAAGCCCUUUUGUUGGGAAAGAAAAGCAGCAGGUUAAUACCCCGCUGUUCUGACGGUACCCAAAGAAUAAGCAACGGCUAACUUCGUG